GAAGCUGACCGGGCAGUCGCCGCUACAAAUCGUCGACACUUUCGGGAGACGGGCGGAGGGAGGAAAGUCCAGGCUCCCAUGGGGCAGGGUGCGGGUAACGCACGGGAAACCCGACGCCAGUGCCAGAAGGGCAAACCGCCGAUGUGGCCCACGUAAAGUGGGGAUCCCGGAAGUAGGGUGAAAGGGAAUGCCAGAGCGCACCGCGCGGCCGUAACAGUCCGUGGCGCGGUAAACACCGGGCAAGGCCAAAUGGUUCAUAAGGUGCGGCCCGUACUGAACCCGGGUAGGCUGCUUGAGCCAGUGAGCGAUUGCUGGCCUAGAUGAAUGACUGUCCACGACAGAACCCGGCUUAUCGGUCAGUUUCACCU
Molecule: RNase P RNA, 368 nt
Filed under: Salmonella enterica subsp. enterica
Lineage: Bacteria; Pseudomonadati; Pseudomonadota; Gammaproteobacteria; Enterobacterales; Enterobacteriaceae
Description: RNase P RNA component class A
Rfam family: Bacterial RNase P class A
About the family: Ribonuclease P (RNase P) is a ubiquitous endoribonuclease, found in archaea, bacteria and eukarya as well as chloroplasts and mitochondria. Its best characterised activity is the generation of mature 5'-ends of tRNAs by cleaving the 5'-leader elements of precursor-tRNAs. Cellular RNase Ps are ribonucleoproteins.
Source: RNAcentral